This 496-nucleotide ribosomal RNA is filed under the name uncultured bacterium. RNAcentral's name for it is "partial 16S ribosomal RNA". It matches the Rfam family "Bacterial small subunit ribosomal RNA", at positions 28 to 506 of the family's 1533-position model. The record is from RNAcentral.
GAUGAACGCUGGCGGCGUGCCUAAUACAUGCAAGUCGAGCGAACAGACGAGGAGCUUGCUCCUCUGACGUUAGCGGCGGACGGGUGAGUAACACGUGGAUAACCUACCUAUAAGACUGGGAUAACUUCGGGAAACCGGAGCUAAUACCGGAUAAUAUAUUGAACCGCAUGGUUCAAUAGUGAAAGACGGUUUUGCUGUCACUUAUAGAUGGAUCCGCGCCGCAUUAGCUAGUUGGUAAGGUAACGGCUUACCAAGGCAACGAUGCGUAGCCGACCUGAGAGGGUGAUCGGCCACACUGGAACUGAGACACGGUCCAGACUCCUACGGGGGGCAGCAGUAGGGAAUCUUCCGAAAUGGGCGAAAGCCUGACGGAGCAACGCCGCGGGAGUGAUGAAGGUCUUCGGAUCGUAAAACUCUUUUAUUAGGGAAGAAAAAAUGUGUAAGUAACUAUGCAGGUCUGGACGGUACCAAAUCAGAAAGCCACGGCUAACUACGG